CUAUAAGAGCUAGUCCAUGCGAGUUCUUCCUUGUUGGAGAAUCGGAAUACUAGUGUUGA
RNAcentral lists this small RNA (59 nucleotides) under Lachnospiraceae bacterium TWA4. RNAcentral's name for it is "Transposase-1 RNA". It matches the Rfam family "Transposase-1 RNA". From Rfam's summary of the family: Lactobacillales (Firmicutes). Environment (Human Microbiome Project, vagina) Lineage: Bacteria; Bacillati; Bacillota; Clostridia; Lachnospirales; Lachnospiraceae. The record is from Rfam by way of RNAcentral.